RNAcentral lists this transfer RNA (66 nucleotides) under Nasutitermes octopilis. Its description in RNAcentral is "tRNA-His". It matches the Rfam family "tRNA". Rfam says of the family: Transfer RNA (tRNA) molecules are approximately 80 nucleotides in length. Their secondary structure includes four short double-helical elements and three loops (D, anti-codon, and T loops). Lineage: Eukaryota; Metazoa; Arthropoda; Insecta; Blattodea; Termitidae. The record is from RNAcentral.
AUCUAAAUAGUUUAAUGGGAAAAUGUUGGUUUGUGGUGCCUACGAUAUAUUUAUAUAUUUUAGAUU